This 258-nucleotide ribosomal RNA is filed under the name uncultured bacterium. Its description in RNAcentral is "partial 16S ribosomal RNA". It matches the Rfam family "Bacterial small subunit ribosomal RNA", at positions 96 to 354 of the family's 1533-position model. The record is from RNAcentral.
UGGCGGACGGGUGAGUAACGCGUGGAAAACCUGCCGUAUACUGGGGGAUAACACUUAGAAAUAGGUGCUAAUACCGCAUAAGCGCACAGCUUCGCAUGAAGCGGUGUGAAAAACUCUGGUGGUAUACGAUGGUUCCGCGUCUGAUUAGCUAGUUGGUGGGGUAAUGGCCUACCAAGGCAACGAUCAGUAGCCGGCCUGAGAGGGUGAACGGCCACAUUGGGACUGAGACGCGGCCCAAACUCCUACGGAAGGCAGCAG